CCGACGGUGAGUAGCGCGUAUGCAACUUGCCUAUCAGAGGGGGAUAACCCGGCGAAAGUCGGACUAAUACCGCAUGAAGCAGGGAUCCCGCAUGGGAAUAUUUGCUAAAGAUUCAUCGCUGAUAGAUAGGCAUGCGUUCCAUUAGGCAGUUGGCGGGGUAACGGCCCACCAAACCGACGAUGGAUAGGGGUUCUGAGAGGAAGGUCCCCCACAUUGGUACUGAGACACGGACCAA
Molecule: ribosomal RNA, 235 nt
Filed under: uncultured bacterium
Lineage: Bacteria
Description: partial 16S ribosomal RNA
Rfam family: Bacterial small subunit ribosomal RNA
Source: RNAcentral